GGAUUCAGAUCUCUGAGAAGUGUGAUAAAUCAAUAGUGCCAAUCGGUUCAGUUUCAGCUUCAAAAACAUUGGGUGAUUGGAAAUGGCAUGCUAUAUUUCUGCAACAAGGCUCCCUAAAUAUUCCCUAUGUUCUAAACUGGAUUCUGACAAGGGUGUACACCCUGCUAUUUGGUCAGAAGUUUGGGAGUUCAUACUUGGUUGUUUGAUCUCGAGAACACCUUUGAUGACCACAAGCAAAUUGGGCGAACCAGAAGGUACUUCUAGGACACGGAGAAUUUCCCUGAAGGUCAAGACCUCACAUCAAUGCUCCCAAGCCCCUGAUGAGCUUGUUCCUUUUUUUUAAGUUUCUCAAAUGUCACUUCUAUAGGUUUACCUGAGAUGUUAUGUUGCAUAUGUUGUGCUGAGGUUUUCCUACUUUCCUUUUAACUUCUCUGAAGUUGAUCAUCACAUGUUUAUGCAAUUGGACCAAAG
This is a long non-coding RNA of Triticum aestivum (bread wheat), 471 nucleotides long. RefSeq lists it as uncharacterized. Lineage: Eukaryota; Viridiplantae; Streptophyta; Magnoliopsida; Poales; Poaceae. The record is from RefSeq and is a predicted model, not a curated record. The transcript is spliced from 3 exons.